GACGAACGCUGGCGGCGUGCUUAACACAUGCAAGUGGAACGGAAAGGCCUCUUUCGGGGGGUACUCGAGUGGCGAACGGGUGAGUAACACGUGAGUAACCUGCCCUUGACUUUGGGAUAACUUCAGGAAACUGGGGCUAAUACCGGAUAGGAGCUCCUGCUGCAUGGUGGGGGUUGGAAAGUUUCGGCGGUUGGGGAUGGACUCGCGGCUUAUCAGCUUGUUGGUGGGGUAGUGGCUUACCAAGGCUUUGACGGGUAGCCGGCCUGAGAGGGUGACCGGCCACAUUGGGACUGAGAUACGGCCCAGACUCCUACGGGAGGCAGCAGUGGGGAAUAUUGCACAAUGGGUGGAAGCCUGAUGCAGCAACGCCGUGUGCGGGAUGACGGCCUUCGGGUUGUAAACCGCUUUCGCUCAUGACGAAGCUUUGUGUGACGGUAGUGGGUAAAGAAGCACCGGCUAACUACGUG
Molecule: ribosomal RNA, 467 nt
Filed under: uncultured bacterium
Lineage: Bacteria
Description: partial 16S ribosomal RNA
Rfam family: Bacterial small subunit ribosomal RNA
Source: RNAcentral